Long non-coding RNA from Mobula hypostoma (lesser devil ray), 4572 nucleotides. RefSeq lists it as uncharacterized. NCBI's taxonomy places the organism in Eukaryota, Metazoa, Chordata, Chondrichthyes, Myliobatiformes, Myliobatidae. The record is from RefSeq and is a predicted model, not a curated record. The transcript has 6 exons.
GCAAACUGGAGACAGACUAUUUUUGACUCCAUAAAUGCCCUCUCGUAUCUGGGUUGGAGGGCCUCACAGAAACUAGUUGCUCUGAAGUUUGUGUGGCAUGGCCUUAGAAAGGACGUACAUAUGAAUGGCUGAGAAAUGGAGAAAUGGAGGGGAAAUCUCCCAGCGUCACUGGCUAAUUAAUCAAAAUAGAAACCUUGUCAUCUUGACGGACUUGACAGGUGAAUGUGGAACAUACACCUGUGUUGCUACUAAUCCUGUCAGCUCUGUCCAGCCAAAUUACACCUUAAAUCUCCCAGGUAAGUUUCAUUUAUGGAUGUAGAUGUCCUCUUGAGAGCAAACUUUAUGAUCUUUGUGAACUUUGCAAUGCAGCCUGUUUAUAUUACACUGUAUCAAGGAGAGCACACAGCAGGUUUAAUGGAAUUGUUACUGUGACUUAAAAAGGGCUUUGACAGGGUGAGGAAGGGUAACUUCUGGCUGGGAAACAGGAUCGUUAAUUAGUUGUCACUCAGAAAGAGGAAGGAUCAGGAGAAGUCCUUUACUGGGGUUGUUGGAGUCUGGGCUGUUCUGUGACAUGGAUUGAGUGAGGUAAGUGGUCAUUGAUUUUAAAACACUGCAGUUUCUGAAUUCCAGUCUGUUUCUGAUCCAAAUGUUUCUCAUGCCAGUCCACAGCUGCCAACCAAUUAACUCAUGGAUUCACAGAGCAUGGGGAAGGGCCUUUCCUACCCACCAGAUUUGCAGUGUGAUUCAAGAGUCACUCUCAGUCACUUUCCAUCAACUGACAACUUGCUCCCAGUCUUUGGGACCUGCUCCCAAUGGGGGAGAUGCCCACAGUUCUAUUUUAUAGUUCCCUGAGAAUCUGUAGUGUCCCUUCAGCACACAGUCCCAGAUAAACCCUGCAGGAGGGCUAACAAAGUGUUCUCUGAGAAUGAAUGCUUAGUCGAGAUCCUGUCUGUUCUGCUUGGGUGGAUGAGAUAUAAUAAUAACCAGUCCACUCAUUUCAGGAGGCACAUAUAUCACUCAACCAAUAGUCACAAAGUUGAUUCUCUGUUUUUUCACAUUGAACUUUACUGAGCUCUAAUUGCAAGUCCCACAUUGCAAGAGUGACCACAUUUAAGGUAUUCUAUCAUCUGGGAACUUAUCGGAAUAAUUGGAAUUUGUAGAUGCUAUUUUUUUAAUAUCUGUAGAUUUAUUGACUGAACCCACUGCGAAACUAAGUGCAUGGAAUAUUAUUAAUGCAGGUGUUACAGAAUAUCAUGUGCACCACCCAUUCUUGCUUUGAAUGGCAACUGUUUCUGACAGCAAUUCAUCUGGGCAAAAAAGAAAAAUCAAUCAUGAAACCUUGAGAACCAGACCCAAGCAGGAAUGGCAUGUCCACUGCCUAAAGAAAUUCAACAUGACAGUUGGGUUGUGACUGAUGUUGGGGCACUUUCAGAUAUUUUCGCCAGUACUGUGUAAUUUAUUAUGUAAAUAUUUUCUUUUCUUUUUCAAUAUUUUUAUUAAUUACUUGCGUAGACGAAUACAAAAUACAUUAUGGUAUUAUGGAAACAGAAACAUGAUUGAAUUUCCCCAUAACUAUGUAUUGUAAAUCAACCUUAAUAUUGAAAAAGUAUAUUUUAUUCUAAUCUAAAGCAAAAACAAAACCCAAUAACAAAAUAAACCCCAUAAAAAAAGAGAGAAAGAAAACAAAUUAAAGCUGUUUGGUUAAAAGAAAAGAGAAGAAAAAUCUUCGACAUAUAGUCGUACAUUCAAACAUAUAAUAGCCAUCAUCAUUGCUGACCAAAUCAAAAAUUGUGAAAGUAGUUUCAAAAAGGUCCCCAUGAUGUGAAGAAAUCUUGUCUGGGUAUUGAAAUAGAACACCUAAUCUUCUCUAGAUUUAAACAUGACAUAACAUCAAUCAACCAAUGUGCAUGAGUAGGCGGAGCGGCAUCUUUCCAUUUAAGCAACAAAAUUCUUCUGGCUAAAAGAGAAAUAAGAUCCAAAAUAUGUAAAUCAUUCAGCAUAAGAGUAAAAUCAUUUCCUCCAACAAUGCCAAACAAAGCAGUCAGAGGGUUGGGUUUAAAGUUUACUUUAAAAAGCUCUGAGAAAGUUUGAAGUACUUCUUUCCAAAAUUUAUCAAGCCACGGGCAGGACCAAAACAUAGGAAUUAGAGAGGCAAACACGAGGAAUUCUGCAGAUGCUGGAAAUUCAACGCUGCGUUCACCAGCAACUUUGAUGUGUGUUGUUUGAAUUAGAGAGGCCUCUUCGACAUUACACCUAUUACAGUAUGGAGAAAAAUCUGAGUAAAAAUGAGAGAGCUUAUCUUUAGUCAUAUAGGCUCUAUGAAUGACUUUAAAUUGUAAAAGAGAGUGACGUGCACAUAACGGAGAGGUGUGAACAAGUUUAAAAAUUUCAUUCCAAGUCUCCUCAUCAAUUGAAAUCUGUAGGUCAUGUUCCCAGAGGUUUUUAAUUUUGUCCAAUGGAAUGUUUAUCCAUUAUGAAAAGGUUUCAAAGUAAAAAUUGUAUCUAUUAAAUUCUUAUCUGGACAUUUAGGAAAUGUAUAAAGUUGAGAAUGCAAGAAGUCUCGAAUUUGUAAAUGUCUAAAAAAAAGAGCUUUACGAAGAUUAUAUUUAAGAGAUAGUUGAUCAAAUGAGGAAAGACUCUCCAACAAACAGAUCCUGAAAACAUUUAAUACCUAGUCUAUUCAACGCUUUAAAAACUACAUCAGUCACAGAAGGUUUAAAAAAUAAUUAGAAAAAAUGGGACUAGAGAGUGAAAAACCAAAUAACCCAAAGAAUUUUCUAAAUUGUAACCAAAUCCACAAAGAAUGUUUAAGUACAAAAUUAUCAGUUAAGUUACUCAAGGAUAAAGGAAUUGAACAACCAAAAAGAGAAAUAAUAGAAAAUUGUUCAUUUUCGCCAGUCCUGUGUAAUUUAUUAUGUAAAUAUUUUAAUUGCAGGUAUUUCCAGUGAAGACUCUAUAAUUAUUAUUGCAUUGAUCUCAGGGCUGGUAUUUUCUUUGCUAUGUCUUGGUGGAUCAUUGCUUCUGUGGUGUUUGGAGAAGAAAUCAAAGUGAGCGUCUUUGAGCUUGAUGAUUUGCAGAGUUCUAUUUCUUGCUGCUACCUUUGUUGCACUUGCCUCAUGGAUUGGGAUUAAAGGUGCCAACUUCAUCCCCACUGUUGCAUUAUGCAUGGUGGGUGUUCAUCUUAUGGCCAUUGUUGCAUCUGUUGCCAUUCAGAAGUCCAGCUGCUUGUUUACUGAGGAAUUCCAAGAAAAGAAAGAUUCUCAUCCUUCCACUUGCUUGAAUGAUACGAUUGUGAUCCUCAUUUUGGUCACUAUUUUGAUGGAGGAGAUUCAGCAAAGCAAACAAAGUUGUCACACCAGCAUUUAUACAUGAACUGUACCUACUGCGUUGAUGGUCAGCGGUGUCACUGUCAUCUCUGUGUUCCUUGCAACGUAUCGCUUGUUGAUCUUGAACGCUGUGCAGUUACACAACAGCAAUGUCCACCCUUCAAUACCAAAUGUCUAUGCAGUACACAUGAAGGAACGGUACUGGAAUUUGGAAGUCUUGCUGAAGCACAGACAGUACAGCAAUUGUAGGGUAAUGUAAUUGUUGGAAAUGUACAGGAUUCACAACCACGAACAUUGGGUUGGGAUUUACUUUAAGAGGUUUGUCUGACAUGAUGAGGUAAUUAUAUAGAGGGCCUUUAGUGUGCUUUCUAUUCAGUUCCUCGAUGUUGAAUAAAUGGUUUGCUACAUAUUUUUCUAAGCAUAAAUUUCCUCCACUGUUUUAUUUCUGAAAACUGACAUUGGUGAUCCCGAUGCUCUUGGAUGAUUCCAGAGGUAUUUGUGACGAAAAACAAAGUUAUCAGAAGAUUGAUACUGAUGAGAGAGAUAAGGGAGACAAAUGGAGAAGCGUUCAAAAUGUUAAUGAGAGAGGAGAGAGAGGUAACGGAAAAGAAACACAAUUAAGAGUAUUGACAGACCGGUUGCUUUGAACCUGAACUGUUUGAAGUUUGAUGGACAGGCGAUACCCCAGCAGGGGGAUAAAAAGAACAGGUUCGCUAAGGCACGACACACCACGAGAUCACGAGAUAACAAGACCCUGGAAAAGCGGUGCGCCCCCACAAGUUGGUGAGAGUUUGGAGGUCUGGUCGCGGGACCGACCAUAGACGCAUAGGGUGAAGAGGUACGAUUGGCGGGAACCUGGUGUGUGUGUCCGCCCUUGCCUGGGUGCCGGGUUCACUGCAGAAGAACGGUCGUAUCAGGAACGGAGGGGUCACAGUCGGUGACCACAGAAGACAUAAAAAGGGUUCGCCCGAAAGCUAACUGCGAAGAACAAAGGUCUGUUUGAAUCAGAAUUUGCAUAUCUCCCUCCCUCUCUCCCCAACGGCACAACAGCGAUUACUGCGAACUGUCCUAGGCUGAACUGAAGUCUGAGUCACUUGAGACUGAUCAUUUUACCCCUAGACUGCGAUAGAGCUUGUUUGAUUCCUAUUACCCUAGUUCUGUGUACAUGUGUGUUUUAUCAUUGCUAAUCUGUUGCAUUCAUAUCCUUACGAUUAGAGUGCUGUGUUACUUAUUUCUUUAAUAAAAC